This is a long non-coding RNA of Trichomycterus rosablanca, 413 nucleotides long. RefSeq lists it as uncharacterized. The record is from RefSeq and is a predicted model, not a curated record. The transcript has 2 exons. Lineage: Eukaryota; Metazoa; Chordata; Actinopteri; Siluriformes; Trichomycteridae.
UAUAAAAUCUACUUAUUUUAUUCGUGUGAAAGCUCCGAUCAGUUGGACGGAUUCGUGGUGUUAUUCUGUGGGGACAAAAGUGGUUGUCCAGAGUUGUUUUUGGAUAGGCAGAGAAAUGGACCAGAGAGGCUAAACUAGAACUACAAGACUGUGUUGAACACACGGAUUGGUCUGUUUUUAAAACUGCAGCUGCAAACCUGGACGAACUGACGGACACUAACAUCUUACAUCAGUUUCUGUGAAGAGUAACUGCUUUAUCCUGGUCAUGGCCGUGGAGGAUCCAGAACUGUUCCUGGGGAAACUGGACGUAUGGCAGGAGUGCACUAUGGAUGUGAUGCUAGUCAAUCCCAGGGCACAUCCCAGAUUUUAUUUUAUUUCGUUUUAAAAAAUAUAUAUUUUUCUUAAGCUAUAAA